GACGAACGCUGGCGGCGUGCUUAACACAUGCAAGUCGAACGGAAAGGCCCUGCUUUUGUGGGGUGCUCGAGUGGCGAACGGGUGAGUAACACGUGAGUAACCUGCCCUUGACUGUGGGAGAACUUCAGGAAACUGGGGCUAAUACCGGCUAGGAGCUCCUGCUGCAUGGUGGGGGUUGGAAAGUUUCGGCGGUUGGGGAUGGACUCGCGGCGUAUCAGCUUGUUGGUGGGGUAGUGGAUUACCAAGGCUUUGACGGGUAGCCGGCCUGAGCGGGUGACAGGCCACACUGGGACUGAGAUGCGGCCCAGACUCCAACGGGAGGCAGCGGUGGGGAAUAGUGCACAAUGGGCGGAAGCCUGAUGCAGUAACGCCGCGUGCGGGAUGACGGCCUGCGGGUAGUAAACCGCUUUCGCCUGUGACGAAGCGUGAGUGACGGUAACGGGUAAAGAAGCACCGGCUAACUACGUG
RNAcentral lists this ribosomal RNA (468 nucleotides) under uncultured bacterium. Its description in RNAcentral is "partial 16S ribosomal RNA". It matches the Rfam family "Bacterial small subunit ribosomal RNA", at positions 28 to 507 of the family's 1533-position model. The record is from RNAcentral.